Non-coding RNA from Phrynosoma platyrhinos (Desert horned lizard), 72 nucleotides. NCBI's taxonomy places the organism in Eukaryota, Metazoa, Chordata, Lepidosauria, Squamata, Phrynosomatidae. The record is from the annotation of a GenBank genome assembly.
GAGAAUGUGGCAUAAUGGUUUGAGUGGUGGACUACAAUUCUGCAGACCAGGGUUCGAUUCCCAGCUCAGCCA